GACGUAGGGCGCGAGCGUUGUCCGGAUUUAUUGGGCGUAAAGAGCUCGUAGGCGGCUCAUUGCGUCAACCGUGAAAACCAGCAGCUCAACUGUUGGCUUGCGGUUGAUACGGGUGGGCUGGAGUUCAGUAGGGGAGACUGGAAUUCCUGGUGUAGCGGUGAAGUGCGCAGAUAUCAGGAGGAACACCGGUGGCGAAGGCGGGUCUCUGGGCCGAUACUGACGCUGAGGAGCGAAAGCGUGGGGAGCGAACAGG
Molecule: ribosomal RNA, 253 nt
Filed under: uncultured bacterium
Lineage: Bacteria
Description: partial 16S ribosomal RNA
Rfam family: Bacterial small subunit ribosomal RNA
Source: RNAcentral